CAUGCAAACACACUGAUUUGUAUACGGCUUGUUGUUUGCUCCUGAGAUUUACCGUUUCUCUCUAAAUUAGGAAACAGCGACUGGAAGAAAUGGAAGAGGGAAGUAAUUCUGUUGUCUGCAGGCUCAGACCAACCUCAGGACAUUCUGUACAGCCAAGAGCCACUAUCCCUUCUUCAGAGAUGACAUAGGGCAGCAGAGCCUAGAUUAGAUUCUCAGUUCAGAUAAAGCUUACAGGAUAUGCUGUUUCCAGAACCAGCACAACCAGAUCAGAACAUCAUCUUAACUCUUCUCCUACUUUCAUCUUUCCCCUCCCCAAAGUUACUACAGGUUCAAGUAAAGACCCAUUAGGUGAGAUUCUGGAGGAGUACUGAGUAGAGGUAUUGCAGUGGGUUCCAUAAACCUCACCAUCAGGCAGGUCCUGGUACCUUUCCUCUUACUGAAACCAACAGUAUCUGCGAAAAGCACGAGAGUCAAAUCCACAUCAGAUCACAGGGAGGUAAAAAAAAAACUGUCAGUCUUGCCACUGAUCUAAAAAUAUUAACAUUUUUCCACCUAAAAAUCCUCUAAUUUUCUGCUUGCUUCUUUAACAUCAUGGACCAAGAAUAAAACUAUUAUAAAACAAACCUUUAUAAACUUUCCUACUAGCAGAGAAACCAGGUAAAAGUGAAAAUACUGGUCAAAGUUUUCCUUUCUUUGAUUCUGAAAAUGUGCCAGCAAAAAUCAUCCCAAGAUUACAGCCAGACACAGGAAUUACAUGCCAGAUGGCAGAUCAACCAGCUCUGACAGAUUCUUCUUCUUCUAUGGAUUAGGAAAGCAGGGGCUGGACCUCUGGUCUGUGUAAUCCAUUUUGGAUUCACUGACUUCUGCUGAGAUUCUGUUCCUGUCUUCACCUGUACUGAAAAACCUCGCAAAGUGAAGUGAGAGACAAAUUGCAAGCUGACCCUGCUCACUUACUUUCUCUCCUGCAAGUCCUGUCUAUUUGUGGGACAGAUGCUGAUUUCUGACGGAUUCGCAUCACGUCUCAUGAAAAGCAUGAAUGCUGGCUUUUUUCCAGCUGGCAUGUGGUGGACAGAUGCUGAAAUCCAGCUGUUUAAAUCCUUGAUCAGCCAUUUACGUUGAAACCCAGCAGUGAAAUGACUAAAAGGUAUGUUUUCAGAGUCGUGUGCCAAAACGUACCCCAGGGAUUCCCACUCAAGCUGAAAUACUGAAAGACUCUGAACCCCAUCGAUAUGUAAAGAAUACAACAUACA
RNAcentral lists this long non-coding RNA (1250 nucleotides) under Numida meleagris (helmeted guineafowl). RNAcentral's name for it is "lncRNA (ENSNMEG00000016956.1)". The record is from RNAcentral. Lineage: Eukaryota; Metazoa; Chordata; Aves; Galliformes; Numididae.